RNAcentral lists this ribosomal RNA (253 nucleotides) under uncultured bacterium. RNAcentral's name for it is "partial 16S ribosomal RNA". It matches the Rfam family "Bacterial small subunit ribosomal RNA", at positions 524 to 776 of the family's 1533-position model. The record is from RNAcentral.
UACGUAGGGUGCGAGCGUUGUUCGGAAUCACUGGGCGUAAAGCGCGUGUAGGCGGCCUUUUAAGUCUGAUGUGAAAGCCCCGGGCUCAACCUGGGAACUGCAUCUAAUACUGACUAGCUUGAGUAGAAUAGAGGGGAGUGGAAUUUCCGGUGUAGCGGUGGAAUGCGUAGAUAUCAUUUGGAACGCCAAUGGUGAAAACAGCUCGCUGGGGGUUUGCUGACGCUGAGACACGAAAGCCAGGGGAGCAAACGGG